Eucalyptus grandis is the source of this 616-nucleotide long non-coding RNA. RefSeq lists it as uncharacterized. Lineage: Eukaryota; Viridiplantae; Streptophyta; Magnoliopsida; Myrtales; Myrtaceae. The record is from RefSeq and is a predicted model, not a curated record. The transcript has 5 exons.
UUUUCUCUCACUAUCUACUUUAGCUAAAAACUGAAAAAGUGACUCUUUUUAACUGCCGCCCUCAUGGAGGCCGCCGCCGGCCGAUCGCCGCCGCGGCUGGCCGCCGAUCGACUCCACGUGGCCGUCGGCGGCGACGUGCGGCGGAGCAAGUCGACCCUGUCGCGGGCGUUGCGCAAUUUCGGCGGCGGCCUUCGCAUCCCCCGUGCGCAGCAGCCUCCCGAGGACGACGGCGAUCGCGACCCUCGCGACCCAUCUCUGAAUCAGUCAGAUGGUUUUGGCGUCAGGAAUUCUCAAGAAUUUGCGAGGCAGGAUACGUACAGGAUGAGAUGCUGGAUGAGUACAUUCAUAUUUGUUUCUGCAGAAAAAAAGAUAUAUCAAGAUGCAAGAUAAAGGGAAGGGGAUAGCACAACUUGUUGGAGAGCAUGCCACUGAGACACUAAUUACGGGAGCAGGAGCACACAGGUGCUAUUUUGUUGGGAUGGCACAACUUAAAUCCACAAGUGCAAAAUUUGUCAACCAGCAGGCCGAUCCAUCUUGUUAUAUUUUGUUCAUCUGCAAGCGACAGCUGAUUUAUGUCAGGGAAACAGAUGUAAACAAGUUCAAUACAGAUGUUCCC